RNAcentral lists this ribosomal RNA (253 nucleotides) under uncultured prokaryote. Its description in RNAcentral is "partial 16S ribosomal RNA". It matches the Rfam family "Bacterial small subunit ribosomal RNA", at positions 525 to 777 of the family's 1533-position model. The record is from RNAcentral.
ACGUAGGUGGCGAGCGUUGUCCGGAUUUAUUGGGUUUAAAGGGUGCGUAGGUGGUCUAUUAAGUCAGUGCUGAAAUAUCCCGGCUUAACCGGGAGGGUGGCAUUGAUACUGAAGGACUUGAGUGAAGUCGAGGUAGGCGGAAUUGACGGUGUAGCGGUGAAAUGCUUAGAUAUCGUCAAGAACACCGAUAGUGUAGACAGCUUACUAGGCUUUAACUGACACUGAGGCACGAAAGUGUGGGGAUCAAACAGGA